GAUAAACGCUGGCGGCGUGCAUAACACAUGCAAGUCGAACGAUGAAACUUAGCUGAUUUCUUCGGAAUGAAAUUAAGUGGAUUAGUGGCGAACGGGUGAGUAACACGUGAGUAACCUGCCUUACACAAGGGGAUAGCCUUUGGAAACGAAGAAUAAUACCCUAUAAAGUCAAAAUAUCGCAUGAUAUAGUGACCAAAGAUUUAUCGGUGUAAGAUGGACUUGCGUCUGAUUAGCUAGUUGGUGAGAUAAAAGCCCACCAAGGCGACGAUCAGUAGCCGGCUUGAGAGAGUGUACGGCCACAUUGGGACUGAGACACGGCCCAAACUCCUACGGGAGGCAGCAGUGGGGAAUUUUGCACAAUGGGGGAAACCCUGAUGCAGCGACGCCGCGUGAUUUAGAAGGCCUUCGGGUUGUAAAAAUCUUUUUUAUGGGAUGAAAAUGACAGUACCAUAAGAAUAAGGUCCGGCUAAAUACGUGCCAGCAGCCGCGGUAAUACGUAUGGACCGAGCGUUGUCCGGAAUCAUUGGGCGUAAAGGGUACGUAGGCGGCCUAGUAAGUUAGAAGUGAAAUAAUAUAGCUCAACUAUAUAAAGCUUUUAAAACUGUUAGGCUUGAGAGAUGAAAGGGAAAGUGGAAUUCCUAGUGUAGCGGUGAAAUGCGCAGAUAUUAGGAAGAAUACCGGUGGCGAAGGCGACUUUCUGGUCAUCAUCUGACGCUGAGGUACGAAAGCGUGGGUAGCAAACAGG
This 745-nucleotide ribosomal RNA is filed under the name uncultured Anaerococcus sp. RNAcentral's name for it is "bacterial SSU rRNA". It matches the Rfam family "Bacterial small subunit ribosomal RNA", at positions 28 to 776 of the family's 1533-position model. The record is from RNAcentral. Lineage: Bacteria; Bacillati; Bacillota; Tissierellia; Tissierellales; Peptoniphilaceae.